Molecule: long non-coding RNA, 3775 nt
Filed under: Ananas comosus (pineapple)
Lineage: Eukaryota; Viridiplantae; Streptophyta; Magnoliopsida; Poales; Bromeliaceae
Description: long non-coding RNA (ACOM_LNC023094)
Source: RNAcentral
UGAAACAUCUAGGAGUCCGUGCUCCUGAGCCGUUUUCGAUGAUGGAAUUUUCGAAUCGACGAUCGGCUCCGUUAGACUUGAUCUAGCGUAUUUGAAGUUUCUAGAAAAUAAGUUUUGCGAUUUUUCAAUAUCAUUUACCUAGCAAUCGAAAGAAUUCAAAAUCAAUAAUUUUUAACGGCUGAAAAUAAAAAUUUUAUAAAAAGUGGUGAUAUAGCACUAAAAUUUCCGAUUAGAAAUAUUGAUCUUGUUGNCAAGGCUGAAAGUAUUUGAAAACUAAAUUUCACAAUUUUUCGGCAUCAUUUACCUAUCAAACGAAUAGUCUAAAAAUGAACGGCUGAAAAUAAAAAUCUCAUAAAAAAUGAUAAUAAAAGGCUUAAAUUUAAGAUCAGAAAUACUGAUAUUACUUUAAAUAGUGAAAAAAAAUUUCUAUAAAAAUUUCAUCAAAUGUGGAUUGUUUUACACCGUUAAAUUAACAAACGCAUCACAUCUACCUUUAAAAUUGUCAAUUUUGAGACCUUUUGAUCACUAGCCAAAUGAUGUCGAAAAAUUAUGAAAUUUAGUUUCCAAAUAUUUUUAAUGGUAUAGAUCAAGUCUAACGGAGCCGAUCGCCGAUUUGAAAGCCGCAUCAUCGAAACAACUUGGUAGCACAGAGGGCUCCGUGCUACCAAUAGUAUACCAGCCUAGCUAUAUAUAUACACACACAUAAUAUAUAAAACUAGGCUACUAUACUAUCGUAGCACGGAGCGCUCCGUGCUACCAAGUUGUUUUCGAUGAUGCGGCUUCCAAAUCGACGAUUGGCUUUGCUAGACUUGAUCUACACUAUUGAAAGUAUUUAGAAACUAAAUUUCAUAAUUUUUCGAUAUUAUUUACCUAUCAAACAAGUAGUCUAAAAUUGAAUGGCUGAAAAUAAAAAUCUCAUGAAAAAUGAUAAUAAAAGAUUUAAAUUUAAGAUCAGAUAUACUAAUCUUACUCUAAAUAGUGAAAAGAAUUUUCUAUAAAAUUUUCAUCGCAUUUGGAUUGUUUUACACCGUUAAACUCACAAACACACCACAUCGGCCAUUAAAAUUGCUUUGAGAUCUUUUGAUCACUAGUCAAAUGAUGUCGAAAAAAUUUGAAAUUUAGUUUGCAAAUACUUUCAACAGUGUAGAUCAAGUCUAACGGAGCCGAUCGUUGAUUUGGAAGCUGCAUCAUCGAAAACAACUUGGUAGCACGAAGCGCUCCGUGCUACCGAUAGCAUAGUUGCCGGACUCUAUAUAUACACACACACACACACACACAACACCACACACACACCACACACACCACACACACACACCACACACACAUAUAUAUAUAUAUAGGAGCAAGGCUGCUGUGCUCUCAGAAGCACGGAGGCCUCCGUGCUCCUGAGCCAUUUCCGAUGAUAGAUUUUUCAAAUCGAUGAUCGGCUCCGUUAGACUUGAUCUAGCGUAUUUCAAGUUUCUAGAAAAUAGUUUUGCGAUUUUGAUAUCAUUUACCUAGUGAUCGAAAAGAUUCAAAAUCCAUAAUUUUUAAUUGGUUGUCUACCGUUUUCAAGUUUAACGGUGUAGAAGUAUUCAAAUCAGAUGAAAUUUUGAUGUAAAUUUUUAUACUAUCUACAACAAGAUCAAUAUUCCUGAUCAAAAAUUUUAAUACUAUAUCACCACCUUUAUAGGAUUUUUAUUUUCAGCCCGUUAAAAAUUAUUGAUUUUGAAUCCUUCGAUUGCUAGAUAAAUGAUAUCGAAAAAUCGCAAAAAAUAUUUUCUAGAAACUUCAAAUACGCUAGAUCAAGUCUAACGGAGCCGAUUGUCGAUUCGCAAGCUCCAUCAAUGAAAACGGCUCAAGCCUCUGUGCUCCUGAGGUAGUCCUGCUCUCUCUCUCUCUCUCUCUCUCCUCUCUCUCUCUCUUCUCUUAUUAUAUAUAUAUAUAUAUUAUAUAUAUUAUAUAUAUAUAUAUAUAUAUAUAUAUAUAUGGAGUAGGUCUUGUGUGCUAUUAGGAGCAUGGAGGCCUUCGUGCUCCUGAGCCGUGUUUCGAUGAUGAGCUUGCGAAUCGACGAUCGGCUCUGUUAGACUUGAUCUAUUAGAAAAUAAAUUUUGUGACUUUUGAUAUUAUUUACCUAACGAUCGAAAGGGUUCAAAAUCAACGGCUGAAAAUAAAAAUCUCAUAAAAAGUGGUGAUAUAGUAUUAAAUUUUGAUCAAACAUAUUGAUCUUCCUGUAAAUAGUAUAAAAAUUUUCUAUCAAAAUUUCAUCUGAUUUGAAUACUUCUACACAGUUAAACUUGUAAACGGUAUACAUCAACCAUUAAAAAUUGUGAUUUUGAACCCUUUCGAUCUCUAGGAAAAUGAUAUCGAAAAAUCACAAAAUUAUUUUCUAGAUAGUUCAAAUACGCUAGAUCAAGUCUAACGGAGCCGAUCGUCGAUUUGGAAGCUCCAUCAUCAAAAACGACUUAGGAGCACGGAGACCUACUCUCCUCUCUCUCUCUCUCUACGAUAUAUACAUAUAUAAUAUAUAUAAUAUAUAUAUAAUAUAUAUAUAUAUAUAUAUUAUAAAUAUAAGAUAUAUAUAUAUAGUCCGGCUACUAUACUAUCUGUAGCAUGGAGGGCUCCAUGCUACCAAGUUGUUUUCAAUGAUGCGGUUUUCAAAUCGACGAUCGGCUCCUUUAGACUUGAUCUACACUAUUGAAAGUAUUUGGAAACUAAAAGUUCAGAUUUUUUUCGACAUCAUUUGACUAGUGAUCAAAAGAUCUCAAAAUUGACAAUUUUAAUGGCCGAUGUGGUGUGUUUGUGAGUUUAACGGUGUAAAACACUCCAAAUGCGAUGAAAAUUUUAUAGAAAAUUUUUUUCACUAUUUAGAGUAAGAUCAGUAUAUCUGAUCUUGAAUUUAAAUCUUUUAUCAUUAUUUUUUAUGAGAUUUUUAUUUUCAGCCGUUCAAUUUUAGACUACUUAUUUGAUAGGUAAUGAUAUCGAAAAAUUCUGAAAUUUAGUUUCUAAAUACUUUCAAUAGUGUAGAUCAAGUCUAAUGGAGCCGAUCAUCGAUUUAUAAGUCGCAUCAUCGAAAAUAACUUGAUAGCACAGAGCACUCCGUGCUACCGAUAGUAUAGUAGCCUAGUUCUAUAUAUAUAUAUAUUCAUUUCUUGAGCAGGUCUUGUGUGCUAUUAAGAGUACGGAGGCCUCUGUGCUCCUAAGCAAUUUUUAAUGAUGGAGCUUUCAAAUCGACGAUCGGCUCCAUUAGAUUUGAUCUAGCAUAUUUGAAGUAUCUAGAAAAUAAAUUUUAUAUUUUUUGGAUAUCAUUUACCUAGCGAUCGAAAUGGUUCAAAAUCAACAAUUUUUAAUGGUUGAUGUAUAUCGUUUGCAAGUUUAACGGUGUAGAAGUAUUCAAAUCAGAUAAAAUUUUGAUAGAAAAUUUUUUGUACUAUUUACUACAAGAUUAAUAUCUCUGAUCGAAAAUUUUAAUGCUAUAUCACCACUUUUUGUGAGAUUUUAUUUUCAGGCGUUAAUUUUGAACCCUUUUGAUCCCUAAGUAAAUGAUAUUGAAAAAUCGUAAAAUUUAUUUUCUAAAUACUUCAAAUAUGCUAGAUUAAGUCUAAUGGAGCCGAUCGUCGAUUCGGAAGCUCCAUCAUCGAAAACGGUUUAGGAGCACGGAGGCCUCCGUGCUCCUAAUAGCACACAAGACCUACUCUUUAUUUCUCUUCUUUUCGAAUUUCUCUCUAAUUUCACUUCUCUCUUAUCGUAACCACUCAUCAAAAUUGAUAGGCGGCUAAGAAGUUAGGAGCACAAG